UUAGUACUCCCUCCGUCCCGAAAUUCUUGUCUUAGAUUUGUCUAGAAAUAAAUGUAUCUAAAUACUAAGAUGUGACUAGAUACAUUCAUAUAUAGGUAAUUCUAAGACAAAAAAUUUGGGACGGAGGGAGUACUUA
This is a non-coding RNA of Hordeum vulgare subsp. vulgare (domesticated barley), 136 nucleotides long. NCBI's taxonomy places the organism in Eukaryota, Viridiplantae, Streptophyta, Magnoliopsida, Poales, Poaceae. The record is from Rfam.